Equus caballus (horse) is the source of this 143-nucleotide microRNA precursor. Lineage: Eukaryota; Metazoa; Chordata; Mammalia; Perissodactyla; Equidae. The record is from Ensembl.
CCGGCUGCCCCUGCCCUUCCACUCCAAUGGCCUCUCCUCUUCUGCAGUGGGUGGGACUGGAGGGCCCUGGAGACCCCCCAGCACACUCGCUGACUGAGGGAUGAUGUGAGUGCCAUGGGCCUGGGGAUCUGAGCAUGGAUGUG